GGCGACGACGGGUACCGGGACUGAGAGGUUGACCCGGCGCAUCGGGACUGAGACACUGCCCGGACUCCUACGGGAGGCUGCAGUAACGAAUAUUGGUCAAUGGGCGAAAGCCUGAACCAGCGACGCCGCGUGUGGGAGGAAGCCCUUCGGGGUGUAAACCACUGUCAGGGAUUACCAAGCAAUGGAGGCUAAUACCCUCCUGCGUUGAGGCGUCCCAGAGGAAGUCACGGCUAACUUCGUGCCAGCAGCCGCGGUAAUACGAAGGUGGCGAGCGUUGUUCGGAAUCACUGGGCUUAAAGAGCACGUAGGCGGACUGCCAAGCGUCUUGUGAAACCCCCCGGCUCAACCGGGGAAUUGCUGGGCGAACUGGUAGUCUUGAGGCAAGUAGGGGCAGAUGGAACUCUUGGUGGAGCGGUGGAAUGCGUAGAUAUCAAGAGGAACGCCAGAGGCGAAGGCGAUCUGCUGGGCUUGACCUGACGCUGAGGUGCGAAAGCCAGGGGAGCAAACGGGAUUAGAUACCCCGGUAGUCCUGGCCAUAAACGAUGUCCACUAGAUCGGUGAACUUCUGACAGUGUGCCGGUCGAAACAAAAGCGUUAAGUGGACCGCCUGGGGAGUACGGUCGCAAGGCUAAAACUCAAAGGAAUUGACGGGGGCUCACACAAGCGGUGGAGCAUGUUGCUUAAUUCGAUGCAACGCGAAGAACCUUAUCCUGGGCUUGACAUGCUUGGAUGCCCAUCUGGAAACAGAGUAGGCUGCCCUUCGGGGUGAAACUUGCACAGGUGCUGCAUGGCUGUCGUCAGCUCGUGUCGUGAGAUGUUGGGUUAAGUCCCGUAACGAGCGAAACCCUUGUCGUUAGUUGCCAGCGCGUAAUGGCGGGGACUCUAGCGAGACUGCCGGUGUUAAACCGGAGGAAGGUGGGGAUGACGUCAAGUCCUCAUGGCCUUUAUGCCCAGGGCUGCAAACGUGCUACAAUGGCGAGGACAAACCGACGCAAAGCCGCGAGGUCGAGCAAAUCGGAGAAACCUUGCCCCAGUUCGGAUUGGAGUCUGCAACUCGACUCCAUGAAGUCGGAAUCGCUAGUAAUCGCGUAUCAGCGUGACGCGGUGAAUAUGUUCCUGAGCCUUGUACACACCGCCCGUCAAGUCAUGGAAGCUGGGAGCGCCCGAAGUCGG
This 1173-nucleotide ribosomal RNA is filed under the name uncultured organism. RNAcentral's name for it is "bacterial SSU rRNA". It matches the Rfam family "Bacterial small subunit ribosomal RNA", at positions 272 to 1430 of the family's 1533-position model. The record is from RNAcentral.